UACGAAGGGUGCAAACGUUGCUCGGAAUUAUUGGGCGUAAAGCGCACGUAGGCGGUUUGUUAAGUCGGAUGUGAAAUCCCUCGGCUCAACUGAGGAAGUGCAUCCGAAACUGGCAGGCUUGAGUACUAAAGAGGGUCGCGGAAUUCCCGGUGUAGAGGUGAAAUGCGUAGAUAUCGUUUGGAACGCCAAUGGUGAAAACAGGUAACUGGGGUUGUGCUGACACUGAGACACGAAAGCCAGGGGAGCGAACGGG
This 253-nucleotide ribosomal RNA is filed under the name uncultured bacterium. RNAcentral describes it as "partial 16S ribosomal RNA". It matches the Rfam family "Bacterial small subunit ribosomal RNA", at positions 524 to 776 of the family's 1533-position model. The record is from RNAcentral.